RNAcentral lists this ribosomal RNA (482 nucleotides) under uncultured bacterium. Its description in RNAcentral is "partial 16S ribosomal RNA". It matches the Rfam family "Bacterial small subunit ribosomal RNA", at positions 30 to 507 of the family's 1533-position model. The record is from RNAcentral.
AUUGGACGCUGGCGGCAUGCCUUACACAUGCAAGUCGAACGGUAACGGGCCUUCGGGUGCCGACGAGUGGCGAACGGGUGCGUAAUACAUCGGAACGUGCCCGAUCGUGGGGGAUAACGAGGCGAAAGCUUUGCUAAUACCGCAUACGAUCUACGGAUGAAAGCAGGGGACCGCAAGGCCUUGCGCGGACGGAGCGGCCGAUGGCAGAUUAGGUAGUUGGUGGGAUAAAAGCUUACCAAGCCGACGAUCUGUAGCUGGUCUGAGAGGAUGAUCAGCCACACUGGGACUGAGACACGGCCCAGACUCCUACGGGAGGCAGCAGUGGGGAAUUUUGGACAAUGGGCGCAAGCCUGAUCCAGCCAUGCCGCGUGCAGGAUGAAGGCCUUCGGGUUGUAAACUGCUUUUGUACGGAACGAAAAGCCUUCUUUUAAUACAGGAGGGUCAUGACGGUACCGUAGGAAUAAGCACCGGCUAACUACGUG